This 550-nucleotide ribosomal RNA is filed under the name uncultured bacterium. Its description in RNAcentral is "bacterial SSU rRNA". It matches the Rfam family "Bacterial small subunit ribosomal RNA", at positions 355 to 896 of the family's 1533-position model. The record is from RNAcentral.
UAGGGAAUCUUCCACAAUGGGCGCAAGCCUGAUGGAGCAACACCGCGUGAGUGAAGAAGGGUUUCGGCUCGUAAAGCUCUGUUGUUAAAGAAGAACACGUAUGAGAGUAACUGUUCAUACGUUGACGGUAUUUAACCAGAAAGUCACGGCUAACUACGUGCCAGCAGCCGCGGUAAUACGUAGGUGGCAAGCGUUAUCCGGAUUUAUUGGGCGUAAAGAGAGUGCAGGCGGUUUUCUAAGUCUGAUGUGAAAGCCUUCGGCUUAACCGGAGAAGUGCAUCGGAAACUGGAUAACUUGAGUGCAGAAGAGGGUAGUGGAACUCCAUGUGUAGCGGUGAAAUGCGUAGAUAUAUGGAGGAACACCGGUGGCGAAAGCGGCUCUCUGGUCUGUAACUGACGCUGAGGCUCGAAAGCGUGGGGAGCGAACAGGAUUAGAUACCCUGGUAGUCCACGCCGUAAACGAUGAGUGCUAGGUGUUGGAUCCUUUCCGGGAUUCAGUGCCGCAGCUAACGCAUUAAGCACUCCGCCUGGGGAGUACGACCGCAAGGUUG